This 253-nucleotide ribosomal RNA is filed under the name uncultured bacterium. RNAcentral describes it as "partial 16S ribosomal RNA". It matches the Rfam family "Bacterial small subunit ribosomal RNA", at positions 524 to 776 of the family's 1533-position model. The record is from RNAcentral.
UACAGAGGGUGCGAGCGUUGUCCGGAAUCACUGGGCGUAAAGGGCGCGUAGGCGGCCUGAUAAGUAGGGGGUGAAAUCCUGUGGCUUAACUGCAGGGCUGCCUCCUAGACUGUUAGGCUCGAGCACGGUAGAGGCAGAUGGAAUUCCCGGUGUAGCGGUGGAAUGCGUAGAGAUCGGGAAGAACAUCGGUGGCGAAGGCGGUCUGCUGGGCCGUUGCUGACACUGAGGCGCGACAGCGUGGGGAGCAAACAGG